GGGUUCCAUCUGCCUAUAAUGUCAUCUUGGGGCAGCCUAGACUAAAUGCACUUCGAGCAAUCGUCUCUACAUACCAUUUGCUUGUGCGCUUUCUGACGAAGAAAAGAACUGGCGAGAUACGAGGAGAUCAACAGCUAGUACGAUAAUGUUACUUAACUAGCCUCCAAAGAACAAGGCCAGUCGAAACUCUCCUCAUUGAUGAUGGACUAGAUCAAAGAGAAGAAGA
This 226-nucleotide long non-coding RNA is filed under the name Elaeis guineensis (African oil palm). Its description in RNAcentral is "long non-coding RNA (EGUI_LNC017306)". Lineage: Eukaryota; Viridiplantae; Streptophyta; Magnoliopsida; Arecales; Arecaceae. The record is from RNAcentral.